RNAcentral lists this small RNA (578 nucleotides) under Pan troglodytes (chimpanzee). Its description in RNAcentral is "processed transcript". Lineage: Eukaryota; Metazoa; Chordata; Mammalia; Primates; Hominidae. The record is from RNAcentral.
GUGCUGAGAUAGAGCUGCCAGCCAGGGGCCCAGAGUAAGAUCUUGGAAACAAAGACCUCAACAGGGAUAAAAUUUACUUGAUUUGUCAAAUAGUCCGGGUCGGCAAGAUGGAUCUUAAGGAUACUGGUGCAAAGAAGUGCACGCAGGGACUGAGGAGGCCCUUUGGGGUGGCAGUUAUGGAUAUAACAGACAUCAUCAAGGGGAAAGCAGAGAGUGAUGAAGAAAAGCAGCACUUCAUUCCUUUUCACCCGGUUACAGCUGAGAAUGACUUCCUACACAGCCUGCUGGGCAAAGUCAUAGCCUCCAAGGGGGACAGUGGAGGGCAAGGCCUCUGGGUGACCAUGAAGAUGCUGGUGGGUGACAUCAUUCAGAUUCGCAAGGACUAUCCACACCUGGUGGACAGGACCACCGUGGUGGCCAGGAAGCUGGGAUUCCCAGAGAUCAUCAUGCCAGGGGAUGUCAGGAACGACAUCUACAUUACUCUCUUACAAGGUGACUUUGACAAGUACAACAAGACCACACAGAGGAAUGUGGAAGUCAUCAUGUGUGUGUGCGCGGAGGAUGGCAAAACGCUGCCU